Molecule: ribosomal RNA, 381 nt
Filed under: uncultured microorganism
Description: bacterial SSU rRNA
Rfam family: Archaeal small subunit ribosomal RNA
Source: RNAcentral
GCGCAGCAGUCGCGAAACCUCCGCAAUGCGCGAAAGCGCGACGGGGUUACCCCGAGUGCCGUCCGCUGAGGACGGCUUUUGCCCAGUGCAGCCAGCUGGGCGAAUAAGGAGAGGGCAAGUCUGGUGUCAGCCGCCGCGGUAAUACCAGCUCUCCGAGUGGUGGGGACGCUUAUUGGGCCUAAAGCAUCCGUAGCCGGUCUGGCAAGUCCCUUGUUAAAUCCAACGAUUCAAUCGUUGGACUGCAAGGGAUACUGCCAGACUAGGGGGCGGGAGAGGCCGACGGUAUUCCCCGGGGUAGGGGUGAAAUCCUAUAAUCCCGGGAGGACCACCAGUGGCGAGGGCUGUCGGCUAGAACGCGCCCGACGGUGAGGGAUGAAAGCU